CAACCUGUUUCUUGAAGCCCCCAUAAGGAAGGAACAGAGUGCCCACCAAUUAAUAAGAAUAAAAGAAAUGGAAACAGCAUUAAUGCAUUUCUCCAGACUCAUCUAUCUGUAAUUUCUAUGCAUAUAUAUAUAUAGACAGGCUCUGAUGCGCAAAAACCAUCUGCGGAUUGUCUCAAUACAGUGAUUUACUUGUUUCUUGCAACCUCUCUCAUACCUUCUUCCAACAUGCAAAACCAAACAAACCAACCUCCUCCAGGUUACCCGACUGAGAAUCCUCCAACCGAAAAGAAGAAGAUGAAGUGCCGGCCAAGAACAAAGGCGAAAGGAGAUAGGGGCUUCAUUGAGGGAUGCCUCUUUGCAUUAUGUUGCUGCUGGCUUUGUGAAGUCUGCUUUGACUAAAUAAGAUACAAGACAUGAACAUAUGUUGAUGUGCUGUUAUUCUAUUUUCACUCUGGAGUAGGUUGUAUUGGCUUUGGCAUUUGUACUUUCCAUGAGUAUCAGUUGGUUUGCUGUACUUCUCUUUGAAGAAGUGUAAUAAAUAUGUACUGAAAAUCUAGGACUGCAUGUACGUGCAAAUUGUCAUAGAAAUAUUUAAAUUACAGUUGUAAUUUCUUUAUUA
Sesamum indicum (sesame) is the source of this 619-nucleotide long non-coding RNA. RefSeq lists it as uncharacterized. NCBI's taxonomy places the organism in Eukaryota, Viridiplantae, Streptophyta, Magnoliopsida, Lamiales, Pedaliaceae. The record is from RefSeq and is a predicted model, not a curated record.